UGCGAGGCGAAGCAGCGAUGUGAAGCAAAUCGCACCAAAGCCGGUCCCAGUUCGGAUAAGAGGCUGAAACUCCCCUCUUUGAAGUCGGAAUCGCUAGUAAUCGCAGAUCAGCAUGAUGCGGUGAAUACGUUUCCUGGUCUUGUACACACCGCCCGUCAAACCAUGAGAGUCGCCAACACCCGAAGUCCGCUUUGCGGCCUAAGGUGGGGGAGAUGAUUGGGGUUAAGUCGUAACAAGGUAAC
Molecule: ribosomal RNA, 242 nt
Filed under: uncultured bacterium
Lineage: Bacteria
Description: partial 16S ribosomal RNA
Rfam family: Bacterial small subunit ribosomal RNA
Source: RNAcentral